GGAGGUGUCUGGGCACCUGGUGGUCCCCCCGGUCUUCAAAACCGGUGAGGCCGAGCAUCUCGGCCUGGCGGGUUCGAUUCCCGUCCACCUCCGCCA
RNAcentral lists this transfer RNA (96 nucleotides) under Terrabacter sp. RNAcentral's name for it is "tRNA-Sec". It matches the Rfam family "Selenocysteine transfer RNA". The record is from RNAcentral. Lineage: Bacteria; Bacillati; Actinomycetota; Actinomycetes; Micrococcales; Intrasporangiaceae. RNAcentral also lists the same sequence under 8 other names.